UGAAUACGAGAUGCUACGGCGUCGAAGCAGUCUAUGUCAUACUUCCAAGAAAAGCUUGCACUGUCAUAAACAAAUAAUGCCUGUACCAUAACCGACACAGGUGGGUAGGUAGAGUAUACUAAGGGGCGCGAGAUAACUCUCUCUAAGGAACUCGGCAAAAUGACUCCGUAACUUCGGGAGAAGGAGUGCCUUAUUUAUAAGGUUGCAAUAACAAGAUCCAAGCAACUGUUUACCAAAAACACAGGUCUCCGCUAAGUCGUAAGACGAUGUAUGGGGGCUGACGCCUGCCCAGUGCCAGAAGGUUAAAGAAGUUGGUUAGCAUCCGCGAAGCUGAUAACUGAAGCCCUGGUGAACGGCGGCCGUAACUAUAACGGUCCUAAGGUAGCGAAAUUCCUUGUCGGGUAAGUUCCGACCCGCACGAAAGGCGUAAUGAUUUGGAUACUGUCUCGGAGAGGGGCUCGGUGAAAUAGACUUGUCUGUGAAGAUGCGGACUACCUGCACCAGGACAGAAAGACCCUAUGAAGCUUUACUGUAACCUGAAAUUGAAAUUGGACUUUACUUGCGCAGUAUAGGUGGGAGGCGUUGAGAAUAUUCUUGCGGGAUUAUUGGAGCCAUCAGUGAGAUACCACUCUUGUAAUGUUAGAUUUCUAACUUUGUAUCAUUAUCUGGUCAAAGAACAGUUUCAGGCGGGCAGUUUGACUGGGGCGGUCGCCUCCUAAACGGUAACGGAGGCGCACAAAGGUUUCCUCUGAACGGGUAGAAAUCGUAUCUAGAGUGUAAAGGCAUAAGGAAGCUUGACUGUGAGACCUACAAGUCGAGCAGGGACGAAAGUCGGUCUUAGUGAUCUGACGGUGCUGAGUGGAAAGGCCGUCACUCAACGGAUAAAAGUUACUCUAAGGAUAACAGGCUGAUCUCCCCCAAGAGUUCACAUCGACGGGGAGGUUUGGCACCUCGAUGUCGGCUCAUCGCAUCCUGGGGCGGUAGUACGUCCCAAGGGUUGGGCUGUUCGCCCAUGAAAGCGGUACGCGAGCUGGGUUCAGAACGUCGUGAGACAGUUCGGUCCAUAUCCGGUGUAGGCGUUAGAAUAUUGAGAGGAGCCUUCUUUAGUACGAGAGGACCGAGAAGGACAUACCUCUGGUGUACCAGUUAUCGUGCCAACGGUAAACGCUGGGUAGCUAUGUGUGGAGUGGAUAACCGCUGAAAGCAUCUAAGUGGGAAGCCCACCUCAAGAUAAGUAUUCC
Molecule: ribosomal RNA, 1241 nt
Filed under: metagenome
Description: bacterial LSU rRNA
Rfam family: Bacterial large subunit ribosomal RNA
Source: RNAcentral